GCCGGUGUGGCUCAGUGGAUAGAGCGUUUGCCUGCAAAUCAAAGGGUCCUGGUUCAGUUCCAGUCAAAGGCA
Non-coding RNA from Myotis lucifugus (little brown bat), 72 nucleotides. The record is from Rfam. NCBI's taxonomy places the organism in Eukaryota, Metazoa, Chordata, Mammalia, Chiroptera, Vespertilionidae.